This 497-nucleotide ribosomal RNA is filed under the name uncultured bacterium. RNAcentral's name for it is "partial 16S ribosomal RNA". It matches the Rfam family "Bacterial small subunit ribosomal RNA", at positions 28 to 507 of the family's 1533-position model. The record is from RNAcentral.
GAUGAACGCUGGCGGCGUGCCUAAUACAUGCAAGUCGAGCGAACAGACGAGGAGCUUGCUCCUCUGACGUUAGCGGCGGACGGGUGAGUAACACGUGGAUAACCUACCUAUAAGACUGGGAUAACUUCGGGAAACCGGAGCUAAUACCGGAUAAUAUAUUGAACCGCAUGGUUCAAUAGUGAAAGACGGUUUUGCUGUCACUUAUAGAUUGAUCCGCGCCGCAUUAGCUAGUUGGUAAGGUAACGGCUUACCAAGGCUACGAUGCGUAGCCGACCUGAAAGGGUGGUCGGACACAUUGGAACUGAGACACGGUCCAGACUCCUACGGGAGGCAGCAGUAGGGAAUCUUCCGCAAAGGGCGAAAGCCUGACGGAGCAACGCCGCGUGAGUGAUGAAGGUCUUCGGAUCGUAAAACUCUGUUAUUAGGGAAGAACAAAUGUGUAAGUAACUAUGCACGUAUUGACGGUACCUAAUCAGAAAGCCACGGCUAACUACGUG